This 63-nucleotide transfer RNA is filed under the name Parastrongyloides trichosuri. RNAcentral describes it as "tRNA-Lys". It matches the Rfam family "tRNA". From Rfam's summary of the family: Transfer RNA (tRNA) molecules are approximately 80 nucleotides in length. Their secondary structure includes four short double-helical elements and three loops (D, anti-codon, and T loops). Further hydrogen bonds mediate the characteristic L-shaped molecular structure. tRNAs have two regions of fundamental functional importance: the anti-codon, which is responsible for specific mRNA codon recognition, and the 3' end, to which the tRNAs corresponding amino acid is attached (by aminoacyl-tRNA synthetases). tRNAs cope with the degeneracy of the genetic code in two manners: having more than one tRNA (with a specific anti-codon) for a particular amino acid; and 'wobble' base-pairing, i.e. permitting non-standard base-pairing at the 3rd anti-codon position. Lineage: Eukaryota; Metazoa; Nematoda; Chromadorea; Rhabditida; Strongyloididae. The record is from RNAcentral.
AGUUGGUUAACUUAAGUUUAAAGUGUCAGACUUUUAAUCUGAAGAUGGAAAAUCCACCAACUA